Molecule: non-coding RNA, 1831 nt
Organism: Lolium perenne
Lineage: Eukaryota; Viridiplantae; Streptophyta; Magnoliopsida; Poales; Poaceae
Source: RefSeq, a predicted model, not a curated record
GAGCGCCAAGUUCCAACUGCCGCCCACCGGCACCUCCCAAAUUUCGCUUUCUUUGUUCGGUGCCUGCCGCUUGGUGGCCUCCUCCUCCUCCCAUCCGCUCCCCCGCUUGUCGUUGGUCGAAUUCGCCAACGGAAACUGGGAGAUGGCUAGACAACGACGAAUUCCCAGUCCCUCUUUCCCCUGCGCGCUUGCACGGACGAGCUAUUUCCUCCGCCGCACUGCCUGAUGUCAAAGGGCUACAAGAAGAGGAAAUCGAACCCUGGAAAAGAUAGGGAUCCAAGCCGUUCCGAGGGGAGCAGAGAACGCAAAUCAGGCAAAACGGUGUAAUUUUUCUAAGAAGCUUGACUGAAGAUCAGAACUCGGGAAGCUAUGCCAUCUCCUUCAGCACCUAUUCGUGUUGGUGUUCCGCCACCCUAUGUAACAUCUCAUGGAGCUAGAGUUGCAAGGCUACAUAUGUAUGACUGGAUUGUACUGGUUCUUCUAGCUGUGGUGGACGGAGUACUAAAUAAAAUAGAACCAUUCCAUCGAUUUGUUGGGUCAGACAUGAUGACAGAUCUCAGAUAUCCCCUGAAAGACAACACAGUGCCAUUUUGGGCGGUGCCGAUAUACGGUAUCAUUGGACCUAUGCUUAUCAUGACCGUAAUAUACUUCCGGAGGAGGAAUGUGUAUGAUCUGCAUCAUUCUAUACUAGGUCUUCUAUUUUCAAUGGCUAUAACUGCGGUUUUAACUGAUGCAAUUAAGGAUGGUGUUGGUCGACCACGUCCAGAUUUCUUUUGGCGCUGUUUUCCUGAUGGAGUGCCUGCCUAUGACAACUUCACUUCGGGCGUCCUAUGUCAUGGUAAAGCCAGUGAUAUGAAAGAAGGUCACAAGAGUUUUCCAAGUGGUCAUACUUCUUUGUCUUUUGCUGGCCUGGGGUUCUUGUCAUGGUAUCUGGCUGGUAAAAUCGAAGUUUUUGAUCGAAGAGGCCAUGUUGCAAAGCUCUGCAUUCCUCUACUCCCUCUGCUUUCUGCAGCCUUAGUAGCUGUUUCUCGAGUAGACGACUAUCGGCAUCAUUGGCAAGAUGUUUGUACUGGUGGAAUUUUAGGACUGGUGGUUGCUUCUUUGUGCUAUCUGCACUUUUUUCCACUACCAUGUGACGAAAGUGGUAUGCUUCAUACUUCUUUUAGAGUAACUCAAAAGGCCCCGGAACAUUUGCGAUUUUAGUGCUUAGAAACCUGUGACGUCAACUGAAAAAUGAUUUGCAAUAGUGAAAAUUGGCAUCGAGUUCUUUACCUGCCUAUGGCCUCAUGCAUACAUCCGGCAUGUUCAUAACCUGGAAGGUGGACACACAAGUGUAACCCACAGCGAUGGAUCACCAAAACUCGGCGCUGAACGGUUUGUUUGAAGGUCCUGAUGGAUUGGAGAACCCCAGGCACUAGAUUCCUAGGAAGCUGGUUGGAGAUAGCAAUGACGGAACCGUUGCUAAAUACCUGACACGUGUUCAGUAGAACCUGAAAACCAGCUGAGACACGUACUAAUGUACUAUGGAUAUCUUUCAGGUCCCCUCAGAACAUAGUGUAGUAUAACAUAUUGGCAUAUGGCACCACGAAGACAAUUUUCAGGAUGCUAGCCAAUACUGGUUUUGGCAUGGGGAAAAACUUCAUUGUAUAAUGCUGAUGAUUUGUGACCUCUCUGCUUUGUAACUGUAGGCUGUAACAAGUAGCGAUGUGAUUUUUGACUAUCAUUGUUAGUGUUAGCCUUGAAGCUAAAUGGAUCGUUAUUAGUAGAUCACUUUUUCAGGAUUCCUUAUAUAUCAGUGAAAGCUGUGGCUUCAUUACUCAUUAGCAGGAUA